RNAcentral lists this RNase P RNA (327 nucleotides) under Caenimonas aquaedulcis. Its description in RNAcentral is "Bacterial RNase P class A". It matches the Rfam family "Bacterial RNase P class A". From Rfam's summary of the family: Ribonuclease P (RNase P) is a ubiquitous endoribonuclease, found in archaea, bacteria and eukarya as well as chloroplasts and mitochondria. Its best characterised activity is the generation of mature 5'-ends of tRNAs by cleaving the 5'-leader elements of precursor-tRNAs. Cellular RNase Ps are ribonucleoproteins. Lineage: Bacteria; Pseudomonadati; Pseudomonadota; Betaproteobacteria; Burkholderiales; Comamonadaceae. The record is from Rfam by way of RNAcentral.
GAAGCCCGCCAGGCCGUCGCUGGUGCCGCAUGGGAAACCUGGCACUGGAGGAACGUCCGGACUGCAAAGGGCAGCGUAGCAGGUAACACCUGUCCACCGUGAGGUGAGGAUCAGAGCAACAGAGACGAGUCGCCGUGGGCAACCAUGGCGGGUGAAACGGGCAAUCUCUACGCGCAGCAAUACCAAAUAGGCCAGCGUCGAUGUGGCUCCGCGGAGCUGGCGGGUAGGUAGCACCGAGCCGUGGGGGCGACCCCCGGCCCAGAGGAAUGACGGUCGCGCCCGGGAAACCGGGCGUCACAGAAUCCGGCGUACCGGCGGACUUCACAC